UCGGGAAUUUUGGGCAAUGGGCGAAAGCCUGACCCAGCAACGCCGCGUGAGGGAUGAAGUAUUUCGGUAUGUAAACCUCGAAAGAAUGGGAAGAAUAAAUGACGGUACCAUUUAUAAGCUCCGGCUAACUACGUGCCAGCAGCCGCGGUAAUACGUAGGGAGCAAGCGUGGUUCGGAUUUACUGGGCGUAAAGGGCGCGUAGGCGGCGCGGUAAGUCACUUGUGAAAUCUCUGAGCUUAACUCAGAACGGCCAAGUGAUACUGCUGUGCUAGAGUGCGGAAGAGGCAACCGGAAUUCUUGGUGUAGCGGUGAAAUGCGUAGAUAUCAAGAGGAACACUUGAUGCGAAGGCGGGUUGCUGGGCCGACACUGACGCUGAUGCGCGAAAGCCAGGGGAGCAAAC
Molecule: ribosomal RNA, 401 nt
Filed under: uncultured bacterium
Lineage: Bacteria
Description: bacterial SSU rRNA
Rfam family: Bacterial small subunit ribosomal RNA
Source: RNAcentral